GACGUAGGGCGCAAGCGUUGUCCGGAAUUAUUGGGCGUAAAGAGCUCGUAGGCGGCUUGUCGCGUCGACUGUGAAAACCCGUGGCUCAACCAUGUGGUCUGCAGUCGAUACGGGCAGGCUAGAAUUCGGUAGGGGAGACUGGAAUUCCUGGUGUAGCGGUGAAAUGCGCAGAUAUCAGGAGGAACACCGAUGGCGAAGGCGGUUCUCUGGGCCUUACCUGACGCUGAGGAGCGAAAGCAUGGGGAGCAAACAGG
RNAcentral lists this ribosomal RNA (254 nucleotides) under uncultured bacterium. Its description in RNAcentral is "partial 16S ribosomal RNA". It matches the Rfam family "Bacterial small subunit ribosomal RNA", at positions 524 to 776 of the family's 1533-position model. The record is from RNAcentral.